UUCCGUUUGAUCCCGGCAGAGGUUACUGCUAUCGAGGUUCGACUAAGCCAUGCGAGUCGAAUGUAGCAAUACAUGGCGUACUGCUCAGUAACACGUGGACAACCUACCCUUAGGUCGGGGAUAAACCCGGGAAACUGGGUAUAAUACCCGAUAGUCCUCGGAUGCUGGAAUGCACCGAGGUCUAAAGCUCCGGCGCCUAAGGAUGGGUCUGCGGCCUAUCAGGUAGUAGUGGGUGUAGCGUACCUACUAGCCUACGACGGGUACGGGUUGUGAGAGCAAGAGCCCGGAGAUGGAUUCUGAGACACGAAUCCAGGCCCUACGGGGUGCAGCAGGCGCGAAAACUUUACAAUGCUGGAAACAGCGAUAAGGGAACCUCGAGUGCCAGGUUACAAAUCUGGCUGUCGUGAUGCCUAAAAAGCAUUGCAUAGCAAGGGCCGGGCAAGACCGGUGCCGGCCGCCGCGGUAACUCCGGCGGCUCGAGUGGUAACCGCUAUUAUUGGGUCUAAAGGGUCUGUAGCCGGCCGGAUAAGUCUUUUGGGAAAUCUGGCAGCUUAACUGUCAGGCUUUCAGAGGAUACUGUCUGGCUCGAGGCCGGGAGAGGUGAGAGGUACUUCAGGGGUAGGGGGAAAUCUUGUAAACUCGAAGGACCACCA
This 653-nucleotide ribosomal RNA is filed under the name uncultured Methanosaeta sp. RNAcentral describes it as "bacterial SSU rRNA". It matches the Rfam family "Archaeal small subunit ribosomal RNA", at positions 1 to 662 of the family's 1478-position model. Lineage: Archaea; Methanobacteriati; Methanobacteriota; Methanomicrobia; Methanotrichales; Methanotrichaceae. The record is from RNAcentral.